UCUCUGAUGUCAUUCUGCUACUCUCUCUUCCAUGCGCAAGCUUCACUUUUUGGGAGAACAGGUACUCCGACUCCGACGAAUACCAAUUGAUCUCUCGCUUCUAAUAACAUCCUUCUACUUUCUACCAGUGAUCUCGGAUUUACCGAUUCUUCCGAAAAUCUCGUCUUUAUCCUCCGUAAAUCUUUUUCCUCCUUGAAAUCUCUCCUUGAUUCCUCCGGAGUUCCUCUCUUCUCCACCUCCCGUAUCUGUUAUCAACAUAGGUUCCAUCGUUGAAGCUGAUUAUAAAGAUGCGUGGGUGACUGGUUUUUUGGUCAAAGAGAUUGAUGAUGAGAAGUGUUUGAGGUUCUCACUUUCAGAAAUCAUGUACCAUUUACAGGUAAGAUUCCAUUGCUUGGCUCUCUUAACUCGUCUUCCUCAUUCGUUUAGAUUCAACAAUCACUGAGGAAUGGAACUCUUUGUCUAACGCUAAUUUCUAAAGAUACCGAUAACAUGGGAAGAUGGACGUGGAUAGAUGAAGAAGAAUGGAGAGCUUCUCCCUUCAUCUCUCAAAGUCAAACAGUCAUUUCUUUCAACAAUAUAUGGAGAGCUUCUCCCUUCAUCUCUCAAUACAUAGAUUGUGCAUAAAACAAAUAUGUAGCUUUGGACCAAAAACACUGUCUUUUAUCGCUUUUAUUUGAUAACCAAAACAAGCUUCUUCUGUUGCUUAUGUCUUUUAUCACAUUGGUACCAGAAAAAAAAGAAAAAUCUCG
This is a long non-coding RNA of Arabidopsis lyrata subsp. lyrata, 749 nucleotides long. RefSeq lists it as uncharacterized. The transcript is spliced from 3 exons. NCBI's taxonomy places the organism in Eukaryota, Viridiplantae, Streptophyta, Magnoliopsida, Brassicales, Brassicaceae. The record is from RefSeq and is a predicted model, not a curated record.